GCAGGCGUGGCGGAAUGGCAGACGCGCUGGUCUUAGGAGCCAGUCUUCGGGUAAGAGUUCGAGUCUCUUCGCCUGCACCA
Molecule: transfer RNA, 80 nt
Filed under: Oscillospiraceae bacterium
Lineage: Bacteria; Bacillati; Bacillota; Clostridia; Eubacteriales; Oscillospiraceae
Description: tRNA-Leu
Rfam family: tRNA
About the family: Transfer RNA (tRNA) molecules are approximately 80 nucleotides in length. Their secondary structure includes four short double-helical elements and three loops (D, anti-codon, and T loops).
Source: RNAcentral